This 468-nucleotide ribosomal RNA is filed under the name uncultured bacterium. RNAcentral describes it as "partial 16S ribosomal RNA". It matches the Rfam family "Bacterial small subunit ribosomal RNA", at positions 28 to 507 of the family's 1533-position model. The record is from RNAcentral.
GACGAACGCUGGCGGCGUGCUUAACACAUGCCAGUCGAACGGAAAGGCCCUGCUUUUGUGGGGUGCUCGAGUGGCGAACGGGUGAGUAACACGUGAGUAACCUGCCCUUGACUUUGGGAUAACUUCAGGAAACUGGGGCUAAUACCGGAUAGGAGCUCCUGCUGCAUGGUGGGGGUUGGAAAGUUUCGGCGGUUGGGGAUGGACUCGCGGCUUAUCAGCUUGUUGGUGGGGUAGUGGCUUACCAAGGCUUUGACAGGUAGCCGGCCUGAGAGGGUGACCGGCCCCAAUUGGAACUAGGUACGGCCCCGACUCCUACGGGGGGCAGGAGUUGGGAAUAAUGGAACAAGGGGCGAAGGCUGAUGCAGCAACGCCGCGUGCGGGAUGACGGCCUUCGGGUUGUAAACCGCUUUCGCCUGUGACGAAGCGUGAGUGACGGUAAUGGGUAAAGAAGCACCGGCUAACUACGUG